Long non-coding RNA from Mus musculus (house mouse), 1853 nucleotides. RefSeq annotates it as predicted gene, 40325. The record is from RefSeq and is a predicted model, not a curated record. The transcript is spliced from 2 exons. Lineage: Eukaryota; Metazoa; Chordata; Mammalia; Rodentia; Muridae.
GCAGGCAGUACUCUUAACCGCUGAGCCAUCUCUCCAGGCCCUGGGAUUGUCUCUGUCAAGAGUAGGGAAAUCGUAGAGUCCUGGAGGCUGAGCUCCAACCUCAGCAAACAGUGGCUGGUUCCUCUGGAACCAGCUCUCAAUCACACCACCUUCCUGGAGGUAGGACAAAAUUUUCACCCUUUUUCAUCCCAGGACAAAGUGUGGCAUUUGGGGCUUUUUGUUAGUUUCAUUUAUUUAUAUUUUAAUAAGGUCUCAAUUACGUAGCCAAAGCUAGCUUUGAACUCACUGUAGGAAGGAGAUUGACACCCCCCCCCCAUUCCUCCCCACUUAGAAGAAAAUUAACAAGAAGGCUGCAAGCCCUUCAGGUCGAUUUUGUGUCAAGCCAAUACAUCUGAUUGUCUUAGCUAGGAUGGGAAGGGUGAAAGUCAGGGAGUCUGCUUUCACUUGGGUCCACUUAAGGCGCCCUACCCACCCACCUCCACUGGCUUUUGCUCACCCAAGGGCCAUGCAGAGGAAACAGUGUGGGCAAAGGCUGCCGUUCUUAUUCUACAGAGUCCCAAUGUCACCUCAUCCUAUUCCAUUUGAAACAGUCCCCUGCUCUGGUGACCCAGCCACACUCUCACUGUCCCCUGGACCAUACUGUAAAGCACUGGGCUGUGUGGGUCCCCCUAAGAUCCCCAGGUCCUCCAUACAUGGUUCUGGCUCUAUCUUUGCUCAGCAUGCAUACCUUAGCACGCAAGUGUCUAAACCCUUUUUGGUCUAGGCAUGCAAGUCAGUGCGUACAGAGCUCACCUAGCAUACUGGAGGUGAGACAUACCUCCCACCCAGCACAUGCAAGGAGGAUCAAAAGUUCAAGGCUAGCUUCGGCUACAUGUCGACUUUCAGGCCACCUUGGGCUGCAUGAGAUCCUGUGUCUCGGAAUAAAUUUUAAAAAGUUAAAUAAGCAUUUUGUUGGAAAGGGCAAAUACCAAAAUAUAUUGUACGGAAAAAAAUUCUUAUGUAAUGCAAAUUCCGAGAAACAAAGUUUUUCUAAAUUUUAAAAAGAAACUAUUUUCUCAGAAUCUCGGGCAUCCACCCAGGGCUAGGGUCCAGGGUUCCCAAGUCUUGGCCUGUCAGGUUGUCAAGGCGAAAGCGGCGCCUAACCUCCCUGGGCUCCGCCCCUCUGCCUAAUUCUUAUUGGGCACGCCCUUACCGGGGUCCCCUUCAGGAUUGGCUGAGAGAUGCAGCCCACGCGCAGGAAUGGCAUGUGAUUGGUUGUCAUUCAGGCCGGUUCUUCCCGGGGCCGCGAUCUGGGCUGAUGUGGGGCCAGUCCCGCACCAGCCAAUCAACGCGCCAAUCGCGUGUGGCGCGUGCCUAUGCUCAGAAUCCCUCCGCCGGGAUGCGGCAGGGGCGUGGCUACUUCAGUCCGGAAAGAAGUUCCUUGGGGCUGGUGCAGAGCCUUAGGUCCGCAGCAGUCUAGCUUUCAUUAGGGCUGCGGAUUACCUCUGUUGCAAGCACCUGAAUCGCUUGCUGGAAGCCCUGGGUUCCAGCACUAGCAUCCUCCAAAACAAGAAGCCACCCAUGAACAUAGACUGAAAUGAAGGCCCCAGAGAUGGCUCCGCUCCACUCCAUGGUUAAGGGGGCUUGCUGCCAAGACUGAAGAUCAGAGUUCAAUUCCUAAGACCCACAUGAUGGACGGGGAGAACUGAUGUCCUGAGAAGUCGUCUUCUGGUCUCGGCUAUGUCACAUGUCAUGUACGCCCUCACCCCCUAAAAUAAAUGUGUAUGUUGGGGAGAUGAAUCAGCAGUUGCCAGAGACUGUGCUGGAGUCACACACACACACACACACACACACACACACAACACACACACACA